CGGACGGGGUGAGUAAUGUCUGGGAAACUGCCUGAUGGAGGGGGAUAACUACUGGAAACGGUAGCUAAUACCGCAUAACGUCGCAAGACCAAAGAGGGGGACCUUAGGGCCUCUUGCCAUCGGAUGUGCCCAGAUGGGAUUAGCUUGUUGGUGGGGUAACGACUCACCAAGGCGACGAUCCCUAGCUGGUCUGAGAGGAUGACCAGCCACACUGGAACUGAGACACGGUCCAG
RNAcentral lists this ribosomal RNA (233 nucleotides) under uncultured bacterium. RNAcentral's name for it is "partial 16S ribosomal RNA". It matches the Rfam family "Bacterial small subunit ribosomal RNA", at positions 104 to 334 of the family's 1533-position model. The record is from RNAcentral.